Molecule: ribosomal RNA, 2889 nt
Filed under: Acinetobacter baumannii 24812_4
Lineage: Bacteria; Pseudomonadati; Pseudomonadota; Gammaproteobacteria; Moraxellales; Moraxellaceae
Description: bacterial LSU rRNA
Rfam family: Bacterial large subunit ribosomal RNA
Source: RNAcentral
CAAGUAAUUAAGUGCAUGUGGUGGAUGCCUUGGCAGUCAGAGGCGAUGAAAGACGUGAUAGCCUGCGAAAAGCUCCGGGGAGGCGGCAAAUAUCCUUUGAUCCGGAGAUGUCUGAAUGGGGGAACCCACCUACUUUAAGGUAGGUAUUGCAACAUGAAUACAUAGUGUUGCAAGGCGAACGAGGGGAAGUGAAACAUCUCAGUACCCUUAGGAAAAGAAAUCAAUUGAGAUUCCCUCAGUAGCGGCGAGCGAACGGGGAUCAGCCCAUUAAGUUAUGUGUGUUUUAGUGGAACGCUCUGGGAAGUGCGAACGUAGAGGGUGAUAUUCCCGUACACGAAAGGGCACACAUAAUGAUGACGAGUAGGGCGAGGCACGUGAAACCUUGUCUGAAUAUGGGGGGACCAUCCUCCAAGGCUAAAUACUCCUGACUGACCGAUAGUGAACCAGUACCGUGAGGGAAAGGCGAAAAGAACCCCUGUGAGGGGAGUGAAAUAGAUCCUGAAACCGCAUGCAUACAAGCAGUGGGAGCACCUUCGUGGUGUGACUGCGUACCUUUUGUAUAAUGGGUCAGCGACUUAUAUUCAGUAGCGAGGUUAACCGUAUAGGGGAGCCGUAGAGAAAUCGAGUCUUAAUAGGGCGUUUAGUUGCUGGGUAUAGACCCGAAACCAGGCGAUCUAUCCAUGAGCAGGUUGAAGGUUGGGUAACACUAACUGGAGGACCGAACCCACUGUCGUUGAAAAGCCAGGGGAUGACUUGUGGAUAGGGGUGAAAGGCUAAUCAAGCCUGGUGAUAGCUGGUUCUCCCCGAAAGCUAUUUAGGUAGCGCCUCGGACGAAUACCAUAGGGGGUAGAGCACUGUUUCGGCUAGGGGGUCAUCCCGACUUACCAAACCGAUGCAAACUCCGAAUACCUAUGAGUACUAUCCGGGAGACAGACUGCGGGUGCUAACGUCCGUAGUCAAGAGGAAAACAAUCCAGACCGCCAGCUAAGGCCCCAAAAUCAUAGUUAAGUGGGAAACGAUGUGGGAAGGCAUAGACAGCUAGGAGGUUGGCUUAGAAGCAGCCACCCUUUAAAGAAAGCGUAAUAGCUCACUAGUCGAGUCGGCCUGCGCGGAAGAUGUAACGGGGCUAAAACUAUGUGCCGAAGCUGCGGAUGUAUACUUUGUAUACGUGGUAGGGGAGCGUUCUGUAAGCCGAUGAAGGUGUGUUGAGAAGCAUGCUGGAGGUAUCAGAAGUGCGAAUGCUGACGUGAGUAACGACAAAACGGGUGAAAAACCCGUUCGCCGAAAGACCAAGGGUUCCAGUCCAACGUUAAUCGGGGCUGGGUGAGUCGACCCCUAAGGCGAGGCCGAAAGGCGUAGUCGAUGGGAAAAUGGUUAAUAUUCCAUUACUUCUGUGUAAUGCGAUGAGAGGACGGAGAAGGCUAAAUCAGCCUGGCGUUGGUUGUCCAGGUGAAAGGAUGUAGGCAUGUAUCUUAGGCAAAUCCGGGGUACUCUAUGCUGAGAUCUGAUAGCAAGCUGUACUUGUACAGCGAAGUGGUUGAUGCCAUGCUUCCAGGAAAAGUCUCUAAGCUUCAGUUACACAGGAAUCGUACCCGAAACCGACACAGGUGGUCAGGUCGAGUAGACCAAGGCGCUUGAGAGAACUCUGCUGAAGGAACUAGGCAAAAUGGUACCGUAACUUCGGGAGAAGGUACGCUGUUGUUGGUGAUGGAACUCGCUUCCUGAGCUGACGACAGCCGCAGAAACCAGGCCGCUGCAACUGUUUAUUAAAAACAUAGCACUCUGCAAACACGAAAGUGGACGUAUAGGGUGUGAUGCCUGCCCGGUGCUGGAAGGUUAAUUGAUGGGGUUAGCGUAAGCGAAGCUCUUGAUCGAAGCCCCAGUAAACGGCGGCCGUAACUAUAACGGUCCUAAGGUAGCGAAAUUCCUUGUCGGGUAAGUUCCGACCUGCACGAAUGGCAUAAUGAUGGCGGCGCUGUCUCCAGCAGAGGCUCAGUGAAAUCGAAAUCGCUGUGAAGAUGCAGUGUACCCGCGGCUAGACGGAAAGACCCCGUGAACCUUUACUGCAGCUUGACACUGAACUUUGACCUUACUUGUGUAGGAUAGGUGGGAGGCUUUGAAGCUGGAACGCUAGUUCCAGUGGAGCCGUCCUUGAAAUACCACCCUGGUAAUGUUGAGGUUCUAACUCUGUCCCGUGAUCCGGGACGAGGACCGUGUCUGGUGGGUAGUUUGACUGGGGCGGUCUCCUCCUAAAGAGUAACGGAGGAGUACGAAGGUGCGCUCAGCGUGGUCGGAAAUCACGCGUAGAGUAUAAAGGCAAAAGCGCGCUUAACUGCGAGACCCACAAGUCGAGCAGGUACGAAAGUAGGUCUUAGUGAUCCGGUGGUUCUGUAUGGAAGGGCCAUCGCUCAACGGAUAAAAGGUACUCUGGGGAUAACAGGCUGAUACCGCCCAAGAGUUCAUAUCGACGGCGGUGUUUGGCACCUCGAUGUCGGCUCAUCUCAUCCUGGGGCUGAAGCAGGUCCCAAGGGUAUGGCUGUUCGCCAUUUAAAGAGGUACGCGAGCUGGGUUUAGAACGUCGUGAGACAGUUUGGUCCCUAUCUACCGUGGGCGCUGGAAAUUUGAGAGGAUCUGCUCCUAGUACGAGAGGACCAGAGUGGACGAACCUCUGGUGUACCGGUUGUGACGCCAGUCGCAUCGCCGGGUAGCUAUGUUCGGAAGGGAUAACCGCUGAAAGCAUCUAAGCGGGAAGCCUACCUCAAGAUAAGAUUUCCCUAGGACUUUAUGUCCUCUAAAGAGCCGUUCGAGACUAGGACGUUGAUAGGUUGGAUGUGGAAGCAUAGUGAUAUGUGAAGCUGACCAAUACUAAUUGCUCGUGAGGCUUGACUA